Long non-coding RNA from Ruditapes philippinarum (Manila clam), 552 nucleotides. RefSeq lists it as uncharacterized. The transcript is spliced from 3 exons. The record is from RefSeq and is a predicted model, not a curated record. NCBI's taxonomy places the organism in Eukaryota, Metazoa, Mollusca, Bivalvia, Venerida, Veneridae.
UUGCAGAGUCAUAGGCUGCGGAGCUUGAGGAUAGACAUGCAACUCUUUUUAAGAAGAUGUCCAGGAAUUUAAGAAGAAAAAGUUGUAAAGCCAAUACAAGAGGGUCUGCUUCUUAUCUUUGACCCCAAAAAAAGAUGGUUGGAAGGUGUGAAUAUCUGGCAGAUGCUUGCAGCGCUCCCGGGUAACCAGAGUAGCUGGACAUGGCGAACAGAGAACAGUGGGAUUAUCGUCGUGAAGAGGGGCGAAAGGCGUGAGUCAUACUACGUGUGAUUUUUGAUAUAGAAAGACAAAACGGCAAUCAACAUUGUUACGAUGACACUUGAGUUUUAAAGACAGUCAAGUUUAACAAAUUUUUGACGCAUUUUUUGAGACAAUUUUCAAAUAUUUGAAAUGUGCUUACUUUCAAGUUUUUAAACAAUAAUAUUUCAAGUCCUCUUGAAACUUUGAACACAAAAAAGAUAUUGAUUAUGAAAAAUGUAUCUGGAACGCUUCAGUUGUCAUUUGUAAAAAAAAAAUUAUAGGGUUGAAACAGGUCUAUUAAGUAUUUUGUUU